Molecule: ribosomal RNA, 419 nt
Filed under: bacterium
Lineage: Bacteria
Description: partial 16S ribosomal RNA
Rfam family: Bacterial small subunit ribosomal RNA
Source: RNAcentral
UGGGGGAUAUUGCACAAUGGGCGCAAGCCUGAUGCAGCGACGCCGCGUGGGGGAUGAAGGCCUUCGGGUUGUAAACUUCUUUUGCUCUGAACAAGGCGCACUUUGGGGUGUGUUGAGUGUAGGGGUUGAUUAGCGCCGGCUAACUACGUGCCAGCAGCCGCGGUAAUACGUAGGGCGCGAGCGUUGUCCGGAAUUAUUGGGCGUAAAGGGCUUGUAGGUGGCUGGUUGCGUCUGUCGUGAAAGCUCAUGGCUUAACUGUGGGUUUGCGGUGGGUACGGGCUGGCUUGAGUGCAGUAGGGGAGGCUGGAAUUCCUGGUGUAGCGGUGGAAUGCGCAGAUAUCAGGAGGAAUACCGGUGGUGAAGGCGGGUCUCUGGGCUGUUACUGACACUGAGGAGCGAAAGCAUGGGGAGCGAACAGG